RNAcentral lists this transfer RNA (88 nucleotides) under Vulcanisaeta sp. EB80. RNAcentral's name for it is "tRNA-Leu". It matches the Rfam family "tRNA". From Rfam's summary of the family: Transfer RNA (tRNA) molecules are approximately 80 nucleotides in length. The record is from RNAcentral. Lineage: Archaea; Thermoproteati; Thermoproteota; Thermoprotei; Thermoproteales; Thermoproteaceae.
GCGGGGGUGCCCGAGCCAGGACAAAGGGGCAGGGUUGAGGUCCCUGUGGCGAAGGCCUGCGUGGGUUCAAAUCCCACCCCCCGCACCA